Arachis ipaensis is the source of this 1703-nucleotide non-coding RNA. NCBI's taxonomy places the organism in Eukaryota, Viridiplantae, Streptophyta, Magnoliopsida, Fabales, Fabaceae. The record is from RefSeq and is a predicted model, not a curated record.
CAAAAGAAAAAAGGAAACAAAAGCUAAUCUAAUGACCUUUCGUCAUCUCUCUGUGAUGUCUCACCUUACUCAACCAAAAAAUUCUAACACCCAAUUUUUCCAGAGUCAAACCCCAUAACCUCCUAGCACAUACGAAGCCGUCAUCGACUACAGUGCAUGCCGGCGCCUCCGAUUCGUCUGACAGCAAUGUCCCGGGCAACUUCUUUGCAAACAACCCUUUUUCUUGCCCUGUUGAUAGAUUGAGACUACAAACUUCGUGCCAUUAUCAACGGACUCGAGCAUGCUCUAAAUCAUUAGAAAAUCGAACAACAAGGUGAGGUUUUUCCCUAAUAGUUGCACUCCCAACACACAAUCUUUUAUUCACUUUUUCUUCUUUUGCAUGUCUUUUCUCUUUUGGUAGCUUUUCUUUCAUUAAUUUGAUUAAGUGAAGUUUUGGGUUUUGAAAAGAUUGAGUUCAUAAGUUGAUGUUUUGAGUGUGAAUAUGUGGAGUCCAAACAUACUUUGUGACAAGGUGGAAUCCUGAUUUUUGAAAUAAGUCAUUUAUGUUGUUACUAUUAUUAUCACAUUUUUGUUAUUAAAAAGUUAAAUUAAUAAAAAGUUACCCUUAUUCCUUUCUUUCUAUCUGUUUGCAAAGAAAAUAAAGAAAUUUUUUAAACAUUGUUCUCUCACCAUGAGUGUUGUUGCAUGUAGAAGUGAUCACAAAAGAUAGAUAUUACAUUAUUUGUGUCUACUAUUAAUGAUUUUUUGUUAUAUGUAUUGUAAACAUACUGAGUGAAACAUUGACCAAGUGAUAAAGAAUUCAGAAUAAAAUUUACUGCAUACAAAGGACGGGUACACAUUUAAAUUAAUAUAUGCUUUGUGCCUUUUUUUUAGUAACUAUGUAAAAACAGAUAAAUUACAUAUAACCCAAAUAAUAAAAUCUAUCAUAAUAAAUUAAAUAUCUAUGAUAAGUCUCUCUUUUUUUUUUAAGGUGAUGUGUUGAUUUUAGAUAUAAUAAUUUCUAAAUAUAGUGCCGAUGUGGAAGAUGAAAUUGUGCUAAUUGAUCACCGUGACAAUUGUAUCAAGCUUAAAAUGAAAAUCCGAUAAAGAAAAAUCUGGAUACCUUCACAUGAGGUAGAAAAGUUAUUUGCUUUCUAUAACUUCAAAAGCAUGGUGUGGAUAUACUUAAUGUAUGUCACAAGUGGAAUAUUUUUUAUGCCUCCUGUGAAUAAGCAAAAUGAUCCAAUCUAUGUGCAUUUUUAUGAAUGUCAUUAUGUUAAAGAUAUUAUUGGGAUAUAUUUGUUAAAAGUUAUUCAAGAUAAGUUAGGGUUAAACUACUUUGAUGCAUUGGAGGAUGUUGCUUAUAGAAGAUAAUGUGAUACAUGGGAAUAUGAAAAGUCCUGGUGUGCAAAAAAUUGUCAAAAACAAUUCAAAAGAAAGUACUGUCCAGAAUAGAUCAACAACAAAAAAAGAGGCUAUAUUGUUCUACAUCAUUGCAAGACAUUGACUAAGUAUGAUGUCAAGGCUGAUCAAUUUGUAAGUUUGUAUAGUGAUAGUUUCAUACUUAUUGGUUACUUUAAUUUUUUUAUGGAAUUAAUUGUUAGUUUUUUUUUACACAGUAUAUCCCGUAUCACUUUGCUAAGUUACUACUUGAUAGUAGACGAUUAGAAAAUUGAAAGUUUGUUGUUGAGGACUCAAAGAUUACUACAAAUUUUGGAAUGAAU